UACAGAGGUCUCAAGCGUUUGUUCGGAUUCAUUGGGCGUAAAGAGUGCGUAGGCGGCGCGGUAAGUCGGGUGUGAAAUCUCGGAGCUUAACUCCGAAACUGCAUUCGAUACUGCCGUGCUUGAGGACUGGAGAGGAGACUGGAAUUUACGGUGUAGCGGUGAAAUGCGUAGAUAUCGUAAGGAAGACCAGUGGCGAAGGCGGGUCUCUGGACAGUUCCUGACGCUGAGGCACGAAGGCCAGGGGAGCAAACGGG
This 254-nucleotide ribosomal RNA is filed under the name uncultured bacterium. RNAcentral's name for it is "partial 16S ribosomal RNA". It matches the Rfam family "Bacterial small subunit ribosomal RNA", at positions 524 to 776 of the family's 1533-position model. The record is from RNAcentral.